Molecule: long non-coding RNA, 353 nt
Filed under: Capsicum annuum
Lineage: Eukaryota; Viridiplantae; Streptophyta; Magnoliopsida; Solanales; Solanaceae
Description: long non-coding RNA (CANN_LNC004882)
Source: RNAcentral
UAUAAUAUAUAUCUAAUUCUAGAUUUUCAAUGUUAUUUAUUAUCUUGUGUUGUUCUUCUCGUAGUGAGUUUUUUAAAUUAUAUAAACUAUCACAUGUAUUUUUAUCUAAAUUUUCUAAGGUUUUUUCUAUCCAUGCUAAUUUUUCUUUUAGGUCUUCUAUUAUUUUUCUAAUUCGGUUUCUAUAAUUAAUUUCAUUAUUUAGAUUUUCUUGAUUUUCUCUAGUUUGUCUAAUAUAUUCUAACAUAUCUUAAUCUGAAUAAUAUCCUUCUGGGUAAAUUUCUUCGUAUAACUGUUCUAAGUAAUUUAUAGUUUCAAUUUCGUAAUCUAUUACUUUUCCUAAUAUUAUUUUCUUA